GAUGAACGCUGGCGGCGUGCCUAAUACAUGCAAGUCGAGCGAACAGACGAGGAGCUUGCUCCUCUGACGUUAGCGGCGGACGGGUGAGUAACACGUGGAUAACCUACCUAUAAGACUGGGAUAACUUCGGGAAACCGGAGCUAAUACCGGAUAAUAUAUUGAACCGCAUGGUUCAAUAGUGAAAGACGGUUUUGCUGUCACUUAUAGAUGGAUCCGCGCCGCAUUAGCUAGUUGGUAAGGUAACGGCUUACCAAGGCGACGAUGCGUAGCCGACCUGAGAGGGUGAUCGGCCACACUGGAACUGAGACACGGUCCAGACUCCUACGGGAGGCAGCAGUAGGGAAUCUUCCGCAAUGGGCGAAAGCCUGACGGAGCAACGCCGGGUGAGUGAUGAAGGUCUUCGGAUCGUAAAACUCUGUUAUUAGGGAAGAACAAAUGUGUAAGUAACUAUGCACGUCUUGACGGUACCUAAUCAGAAAGCCACGGCUAACUACGU
This 496-nucleotide ribosomal RNA is filed under the name uncultured bacterium. RNAcentral describes it as "partial 16S ribosomal RNA". It matches the Rfam family "Bacterial small subunit ribosomal RNA", at positions 28 to 506 of the family's 1533-position model. The record is from RNAcentral.